Long non-coding RNA from Carassius gibelio (silver crucian carp), 702 nucleotides. RefSeq lists it as uncharacterized. The record is from RefSeq and is a predicted model, not a curated record. The transcript has 3 exons. Lineage: Eukaryota; Metazoa; Chordata; Actinopteri; Cypriniformes; Cyprinidae.
GAGAAAGUCCAUGGAGCAGCAUCCCACUGGUCGCCUCUGUAGGUUCUGCCACAAGCCACUAAAACAAGGCCCAGAGAGUCCACACAUACACACUGGGUUCCCUGGUGUGGCAGGGAAAUAUGUCUAUUGUCCUGCCAGAGUGUUUUCCUUAUAUCAGACAGAGGGGAUGACUCACGAGAUGAUUUGGGGAGAGUUCUGUCAGUCUUCCUUUUAUGAGACUGAAAGGAAGAGAUGGGCAGCAGAAAAGGGAAAGUGACUGCCCUCAUGUUUCCUGGUUUUAAAUGAAUGUUUAGAUGAAGCAUCCUCUGUCAAGACCCAUCCUCCGCAGAGUAGGUCACCCUAAAGACGGUCUCAGUCCACCAAAACAUCACACCAGACACUUUGACAGCGGAGGAUCAAAGGUCAGAAGGGUUUCUUCCAGAUGCAGAACACCACACCAUCGGCCAUAACUGCGUCCCUCGUUCAGCUCACACUGGACCCCUCAGAACGGCUGGUCUUCGUGUUGGACCAUAGAUGGACAGAUCUGCUGAGAAUUGCCCGUGAAGAUCUCUUGGCAACGCACCAUAGGAGCAAGGAUCUUCUUCAACAGGCCGAAGGCUUGUUUUUUGUUGUUGUUGUUUUUCUAUGUUUUCCACAACUUUAAAUUGUAUUAUUAUUAAUAUUAUUGUAGCUGUUGUUGUUUAGUCUACAAUUUUAAAUUAU